GACAGGAGGAGCAAGUGUUGUUCGGAAUCAUUGGGCGUAAAGAGUAUGUAGGCGGCUAUUUAAGUCAGGCGCGUAAGCCCACGGCUCAACCGUGGAAUUGCGUUUGAAACUAUUUAGCUUGAGUACAGGAGAGGAAGGCGGAAUUCCCAGUGUAGCGGUGAAAUGCAUUGAUAUUGGGAAGAACACCGGAGGCGAAGGCGGCCUUCUGGUCUGAUACUGACGCUGAGAUACGAAAGCCAGGGGAGUGAACGGG
RNAcentral lists this ribosomal RNA (253 nucleotides) under uncultured bacterium. RNAcentral's name for it is "partial 16S ribosomal RNA". It matches the Rfam family "Bacterial small subunit ribosomal RNA", at positions 524 to 776 of the family's 1533-position model. The record is from RNAcentral.